UUUUGUUUACCGUUUUGUACGUCCCCAGAAAAAGAUUCAAGUGCGUUAAUUGUCAACGAGUCUUCGGAUUAUGGCUCUGAUUUUGAUGAAUAUGAUUCUGGCAGCAUUUGGUAGCAAGACGGAUGUAGUUAUAUGAUGAUACCGAAUCAACAAUGUUUGAAUUUGAAAAAGAAACAGAUUAUUCAAAUUCAUUUCCCUGGUUAGGGCUGGGCUUUACAAUGGGAUUUUCAGCUGUGGAGCUAUAAAGAAUUACUACAUAGGGUUUCCAAUGUAGUUUUGUGUACAGAAUCCAGAAAUAAGAAGAGAAAAGACAAUGCAGAUGCAGCAUUAGAAUUACCAACUACUUAUCACUGCUGAGGAAAUGGUACCUGAUUUGAGUACUACUCUUGCGUAUUUGGAGACAGUCCAGUUGUUCUUUAAACCAGAAGUGGAAAUUUCAGUGCUUGUUAAAUUUUCUCCAGAAGUUAUUGGAUGAUACAUUGGAAGAAAAUGGGAUCAUACUGAACAAAAUAGUUUGGAC
This is a long non-coding RNA of Saccostrea cuccullata (small rock oyster), 520 nucleotides long. RefSeq lists it as uncharacterized. The record is from RefSeq and is a predicted model, not a curated record. Lineage: Eukaryota; Metazoa; Mollusca; Bivalvia; Ostreida; Ostreidae. The transcript has 3 exons.